UCUUAAAGGCUUGCACUACUGACAGCACUCCAAGAAACAUGGCUGACAAUAUUCCAGACACUAACACUACUGACAGAAACACUAGUUCUGCCCUUCCAUAAAUACUUAUGAUCUAGUCACCUCUGAUGAAACUCAUGAACCACCAGAUGCUAAGAGUAUUCCGAGCUAUACUUCUGAGAGUACUUGCAAUGCUCUCAUCACUGAAAAUGCUCAGACCUGCUCCUCGAAUAAAGAUGAUCUCAGACCAUCUGGUGCCUGAAGACAAUCCUGGAGAGACAGAGACUAACAUGGGAGCUGGAGACAGUAAGCAGAUAUCAGAUGAAAACCAAAGGAAGAGGCACUCAUCAAAUGCAUCAGUGAGAGGACACAAUACAAAAUAUGGAACAAAGCCAUGUUUUUUCAACAUUGAAAAACCUGUGGUUUCUAAUAUUCAAACACGAUCAGCUACAGUGUCAUGGACUCUGAACAAUACUGAAAAAUAUGAUAUUAAUCUUCCUAUGACAUUUGAAUUGGCACUGUCCAGCAGUGGUAAAAACAGAAUCUAUAAACACAUUUAUACUGGUGAUGGCGUUACUGUGGUCCUACAUGAUCUACAGCCUUGCACGGUCUACUUCUUAAGAGUUGCAAUCAUAAGAGAUGGAGAACACAGAAAUGUGUCUGAAGUGGUUAGCUUCACAACACCAGGCUGUGAACCAGACCCUCCUCUUGCACCCACACUGAUUAGCAGAACCAAGAACAGCCUGAACUUACAAUGGAAAGGUUGCAAUGAUAAUGGAUCCAAAAUAAGCCGCUUUCUAUUGGAAUGGGAUGAGGGCAUAGGUGAAGACUUCAAAAGCUGUUACACUGGGCCCAGGAAACAGCACAAGCUCUUUAAACUGAGCCCAUCGACAAAGUAUUCCUUCAGAUUGGCUGCCAAA
This 917-nucleotide long non-coding RNA is filed under the name Rattus norvegicus (Norway rat). RNAcentral describes it as "long non-coding RNA NONRATT031097". The record is from RNAcentral. Lineage: Eukaryota; Metazoa; Chordata; Mammalia; Rodentia; Muridae.